RNAcentral lists this ribosomal RNA (430 nucleotides) under uncultured bacterium. RNAcentral describes it as "bacterial SSU rRNA". It matches the Rfam family "Bacterial small subunit ribosomal RNA", at positions 957 to 1391 of the family's 1533-position model. The record is from RNAcentral.
GAACGCGAAGAACCUUACCAGGUCUUGACAUCCCUCUGACCGCUCUAGAGAUAGAGUUUUCCUUCGGGACAGAGGUGACAGGUGGUGCAUGGUGUCGUCAGCUCGUGUCGUGAGAUGUUGGGUUAAGUCCCGCAACGAGCGCAACCCCUAUUGUUAGUUGCCAUCAUUCAGUUGGGCACUCUAGCGAGACUGCCGGUAAUAAACCGGAGGAAGGUGGGGAUGACGUCAAAUCAUCAUGCCCCUUAUGACCUGGGCUACACACGUGCUACAAUGGCUGGUACAACGAGUCGCAAGCCGGUGACGGCAAGCUAAUCUCUUAAAGCCAGUCUCAGUUCGGAUUGUAGGCUGCAACUGCUACAUGAAGUCGGAAUCGCUAGUAAUCGCGGAUCAGCACGCCGCGGUGAAUACGUUCCCGGGUCUUGUACACACC